This 324-nucleotide ribosomal RNA is filed under the name Escherichia coli. RNAcentral describes it as "bacterial SSU rRNA". It matches the Rfam family "Bacterial small subunit ribosomal RNA", at positions 942 to 1266 of the family's 1533-position model. Lineage: Bacteria; Pseudomonadati; Pseudomonadota; Gammaproteobacteria; Enterobacterales; Enterobacteriaceae. The record is from RNAcentral.
UGGUUUAAUUCGAUGCAACGCGAAGAACCUUACCUGGUCUUGACAUCCACGGAAGUUUUCAGAGAUGAGAAUGUGCCUUCGGGAACCGUGAGACAGGUGCUGCAUGGCUGUCGUCAGCUCGUGUUGUGAAAUGUUGGGUUAAGUCCCGCAACGAGCGCAACCCUUAUCCUUUGUUGCCAGCGGUCCGGCCGGGAACUCAAAGGAGACUGCCAGUGAUAAACUGGAGGAAGGUGGGGAUGACGUCAAGUCAUCAUGGCCCUUACGACCAGGGCUACACACGUGCUACAAUGGCGCAUACAAAGAGAAGCGACCUCGCGAGAGCAA